Equus caballus (horse) is the source of this 43-nucleotide non-coding RNA. Lineage: Eukaryota; Metazoa; Chordata; Mammalia; Perissodactyla; Equidae. The record is from Rfam.
GCAUGGUGGUGGUUGGGGACAGCCCCAUGGUGGUGGAGGCUGG